UACGUAGGGUGCAAGCGUUGUCCGGAAUUAUUGGGCGUAAAGAGCUCGUAGGCGGUCUGUCGCGUCGGAUGUGAAAAUCCAGGGCUCAACCCUGGACCUGCAUUCGAUACGGGCAGACUAGAGUUCGGCAGGGGAGACUGGAAUUCCUGGUGUAGCGGUGAAAUGCGCAGAUAUCAGGAGGAACACCGGUGGCGAAGGCGGGGCUCUGGGCCGAUACUGACGCUGAGGAGCGAAAGCGUGGGGAGCGAACAGG
RNAcentral lists this ribosomal RNA (253 nucleotides) under uncultured bacterium. Its description in RNAcentral is "partial 16S ribosomal RNA". It matches the Rfam family "Bacterial small subunit ribosomal RNA", at positions 524 to 776 of the family's 1533-position model. The record is from RNAcentral.